UAGGGAAUCUUCGGCAAUGGACGAAAGUCUGACCGAGCAACGCCGCGUGAGUGAAGAAGGUUUUCGGAUCGUAAAACUCUGUUGUUAGAGAAGAACAAGGACGUUAGUAACUGAACGUCCCCUGACGGUAUCUAACCAGAAAGCCACGGCUAACUACGUGCCAGCAGCCGCGGUAAUACGUAGGUGGCAAGCGUUGUCCGGAUUUAUUGGGCGUAAAGCGAGCGCAGGCGGUUUCUUAAGUCUGAUGUGAAAGCCCCCGGCUCAACCGGGGAGGGUCAUUGGAAACUGGGAGACGUGAGUGCAGAAGAGGAGAGUGGAAUUCCAUGUGUAGCGGUGAAAUGCGUAGAUAUAUGGAGGAACACCAGUGGCGAAGGCGGCUCUCUGGUCUGUAACUGACGCUGAGGCUCGAAAGCGUGGGGAGCAAACAGG
RNAcentral lists this ribosomal RNA (429 nucleotides) under Chloroflexota bacterium. Its description in RNAcentral is "Chloroflexi bacterium partial 16S ribosomal RNA". It matches the Rfam family "Bacterial small subunit ribosomal RNA", at positions 355 to 776 of the family's 1533-position model. RNAcentral also lists the same sequence under 1 other name. Lineage: Bacteria; Bacillati; Chloroflexota. The record is from RNAcentral.